AAUGCACCAAUUUGUAAGUCGCUCUGGAUAAGAGCGUCUGCUAAUAGAUGUAAA
Non-coding RNA from Salmo salar (Atlantic salmon), 54 nucleotides. Lineage: Eukaryota; Metazoa; Chordata; Actinopteri; Salmoniformes; Salmonidae. The record is from Rfam.